CGUGCUAAGGUAGCAUAAUAAUUUGUCUUUUAAUUAAAGACUAGAACAAAAGAUUUAACAUCUUAAUAAAUAUUUUAAAUUAACCUAUUAAAAUUAUUCUAAGUGUAAAAAAACAUUUAUAAAAAAAAAAGACGAUAAGACCCUAUCGAACUUAACUUCAGUUUAACUGGGGCAGUUAAUUAAUUAUUAUUUUAAAUUAAAUAAAUAAAAAAUUUGACCUAAUAUAAUUAAUAUUAUAAUUAAGUUACCGUAGGGAUAACAGCGUAAUAAAACUUUAAAGAUCUUAUUAAAAGUAAAGAUUGCGACCUCGAUGUUGAUUUAAUAACCUAACGUAUGCAGUAAUUCGUUAAGGAAGUCUGUUCGACUUUUAAAAAAUUACAUGAUCUG
RNAcentral lists this ribosomal RNA (387 nucleotides) under Arctosa littoralis. RNAcentral's name for it is "partial 16S ribosomal RNA". It matches the Rfam family "Bacterial large subunit ribosomal RNA", at positions 1947 to 2607 of the family's 2925-position model. Lineage: Eukaryota; Metazoa; Arthropoda; Arachnida; Araneae; Lycosidae. The record is from RNAcentral.